CACGUAGGGUGCGAGCGUUGUCCGGAAUUAUUGGGCGUAAAGAGCUCGUAGGCGGUGUGUCGCGUCGGCCGUGAAAACCUGCAGCUUAACUGUAGGCUUGCGGUCGAUACGGGCAUCACUGGAGUUCGGCAGGGGAGACUGGAAUUCCUGGUGUAGCGGUGAAAUGCGCAGAUAUCAGGAGGAACACCGGUGGCGAAGGCGGGUCUCUGGGCCGAUACUGACGCUGAGGAGCGAAAGCGUGGGGAGCGAACAGG
Molecule: ribosomal RNA, 254 nt
Filed under: uncultured bacterium
Lineage: Bacteria
Description: partial 16S ribosomal RNA
Rfam family: Bacterial small subunit ribosomal RNA
Source: RNAcentral